UGCUAAAUAGUUCAGUCCGUUGAGCACGAGAAUCUGAAUCUCAGGAUCUUGGGUUCGAGCCCCACGUUGGGCAA
This is a non-coding RNA of Podarcis lilfordi (Lilford's wall lizard), 74 nucleotides long. The record is from the annotation of a GenBank genome assembly. Lineage: Eukaryota; Metazoa; Chordata; Lepidosauria; Squamata; Lacertidae.